Molecule: transfer RNA, 77 nt
Filed under: Chloroflexota bacterium
Lineage: Bacteria; Bacillati; Chloroflexota
Also listed under: 4 other names
Description: Chloroflexi bacterium tRNA-His
Rfam family: tRNA
About the family: Transfer RNA (tRNA) molecules are approximately 80 nucleotides in length. Their secondary structure includes four short double-helical elements and three loops (D, anti-codon, and T loops). Further hydrogen bonds mediate the characteristic L-shaped molecular structure. tRNAs have two regions of fundamental functional importance: the anti-codon, which is responsible for specific mRNA codon recognition, and the 3' end, to which the tRNAs corresponding amino acid is attached (by aminoacyl-tRNA synthetases). tRNAs cope with the degeneracy of the genetic code in two manners: having more than one tRNA (with a specific anti-codon) for a particular amino acid; and 'wobble' base-pairing, i.e. permitting non-standard base-pairing at the 3rd anti-codon position.
Source: RNAcentral
GUGGGUAUAGCUCAGUUGGUUAGAGCGCCGGAUUGUGGAUCCGGAGGUCGGGGGUUCGAAACCCCUUACCCACCCCA